GGUGAGGUGGCCGAGUGGCUGAAGGCGCACGCCUGGAAAGUGUGUAUACGUUAAUAGCGUAUCGAGGGUUCGAAUCCCUCUCUCACCGCCA
This 91-nucleotide transfer RNA is filed under the name Alcanivoracaceae bacterium. Its description in RNAcentral is "tRNA-Ser". It matches the Rfam family "tRNA". From Rfam's summary of the family: Transfer RNA (tRNA) molecules are approximately 80 nucleotides in length. Their secondary structure includes four short double-helical elements and three loops (D, anti-codon, and T loops). RNAcentral also lists the same sequence under 1 other name. Lineage: Bacteria; Pseudomonadati; Pseudomonadota; Gammaproteobacteria; Oceanospirillales; Alcanivoracaceae. The record is from RNAcentral.